RNAcentral lists this ribosomal RNA (174 nucleotides) under uncultured bacterium. RNAcentral describes it as "partial 16S ribosomal RNA". It matches the Rfam family "Bacterial small subunit ribosomal RNA", at positions 347 to 535 of the family's 1533-position model. The record is from RNAcentral.
GGCAGCAGUGGGGAAUAUUGGACAAUGGGCGCAAGCCUGAUCCAGUCAUGCCGCGUGAGUGAUGAAGGCCCUAGGGUUGUAAAGCUCUUUCGCCAGGGACGAUAAUGACGGUACCUGGAUAAGAAGCCCCGGCUAACUUCGUGCCAGCAGCCGCGGUAAUACUCCUACGGGAGG